Small nucleolar RNA from Rhododendron vialii, 106 nucleotides. RefSeq annotates it as small nucleolar RNA snoR100. The record is from RefSeq and is a predicted model, not a curated record. The transcript has a single exon. Lineage: Eukaryota; Viridiplantae; Streptophyta; Magnoliopsida; Ericales; Ericaceae.
CAAUGAAGGAAGCAUAAUAAUGUGCACAGAAAUUAAAUUGGGUCUCUAGGCCUGCCCUCUCUAAUGCUAUCGGCUUUGAUAGUGGGUAUGGUUCCACAACAAAAUA